GAAACAGCCUGCGGGUGAUGAGGCAGCAGCUCUGGGCCGUUCUGGUGCUGGGUCAACUUCUGAGAUCUGGGCAGGGCCUGGGGGAAGGGGGUGGCCUGAGCCUGCCAGUUGCCCCAGGGCCCUUCCAUCCCGCCCAGCCCGUGCUCCCUGGAGCUGGGGACUGAGGCAGGCCUGGGAGUUGGCCUGGCCUCAGGGGCAGGACUCAGAGGGGCAGCUGGCGGGAGGGCAGAGGCGUUCAGAGGGCCCCAGGUGUCUCGAGCACAGAGCUGCCCGGGGGCCCAGGUCUGGUAAGGACCACGAGCACCUGCAGAGCCCCAGGGGGAGGCCUGGGACCCCGGGGGGGACAGUGUGUGGCCACUUUCGGGUGCUGGCUGCAGCUGGAGGAGCAAGUGCGGGUCUCGCCGUGGGGCGGGCUCUGGGGCCAGCGGGCUCGCGGGCCUUGGCCGGGGCGGGUGUGCCUGCUGGGCCGGCUGCGUGCUCUGGGAGCGUGGAGGUCGGGGUGUGGGGUCUCCGGCGGGCGUGGGUCUCCGGGUGUCAGGCCCGCGUGGGUGGUGGCCUGCACGUGGGCGGCGCUGCGGGGGGAGCGAAGACCUCGGCGCUCAGGCCCGGUGGCAGCCGGGAGGGCGCUCUCGGCGCCGCUCACGGUUGCUUUCAAUGCAAUCCGCUUGAAUUGCUGGUUUAUGUGUUUAAUGCGGGCUGUGUGGAGCCUCGGCGCUCUGCGGGCGGCCGGGCCCUGCGCGAUUCAGGCCUUUCCUCUCGGUCCCAGGGCGCCGAGCCCCACGCAGCCCGCGGAGCCGGCCGCCUCAGCAGGAAGCCGCGGGCCUGUGUGGGCGACUCUCUGGGGACGGCCCUGCUGCGGGGGGGGCUUGGGAACGGCUCUCUGCGUUCCGGGGGCCGGGCCUGGCUCCCGCCCAGGCCUCCCCAACCUCCAGCCGGCCGAGCCCCGCCGGCCGCCGCCUCCCUCGCCCUCUCGUUUCCCGGUCUCGGUCUCCACAGCUCCCGGCCGCCAGCGGUGGGAUGCAGCCCUUUCCUCGUGGGCAUGUUUGGGGCGGUUCUGCCCGACACCCCGGAGGCUGCAGGUCCGCCCGGCAGACAUCGCCACAAGCGACUGGGUGAAGAUUGCGCCCAAACUCCCCGGAGCCCGGAGAUGGGCCCGAGCCCCGUAUAAACGCCAACCGUAUUUCUGAGGAGACAGACACUGGGUGCCCGGCUCUGCAAGGAAAGCCUCAGGCUAGGUUCCAAGUGCGGCUUUAAAAAAUACUGCGUUUUUAAAAAGCCAAGUAUUUACCUACUUAUUUGGAACCUAAGAUCUUGUGUAUGCUAGGUGUGCUCUGUCCCCGAACUACAACCCCAGCCCCUUAACUGCAUUAAAAACAUUAUUUUAAAAAUUUCAUACAACGAACACACACAAAAAGGAGUGCAACCGCCGUGGCAUGCAGCGGUUUCCUCACUCCGAAGGCAGUCGCGCGGCCCUCGAUGGUCGAGCCUGGCCCCCAGCUCCAGCCCAUGCCCGGGGUCUCCUCAGUGCCGUGCCCCUGUGGAAGGCAGCCGGGAUGGAAGCGCUGCUGUGGGCCCUUGGCGCGAGGCCUUGCCUGGACCGGGGUUUGCGUUUCUCUGGGGCAUCGUCCUUGACCGGGAUGUGGGUCACACGGACCACGUGGCUCCCUGUGGGACAGAUGGCCAGCCUGUUUCCAGAAGUGGAAAAUACCUCUUCCCAGCCUGCGUCCCACCAGCCGUGGGGGCGGCCAGCUGCUCCGGUCGUCCUGGGCACUGGCUAUUGCCACAGCUUUUUUAAAAUUUAAUUUUAGCCAUUCUGUGAGUAGUGGAAUCUCGUGUGGUUUCAAUUUGUGUUUCCCUGGUGAUUAAUAAUCUUUGACUUCUUUUUUCUUUUUUGGUACCAGGGAUCGAACUCGGGUCCUUGUGCUUGCCCGGCAGGCGGCAGAACCACUGAGCUAAAUCCCUGGCCCCUCUUGGACUUUUUUUCACACAUUUGUCUGGCAUGCAUAAUUUAUUCUUUGGUGAUUUUUUUUGAACUUAUGCUUCUUUUAAAAAAUUUCAUUGUUUGCAAGGACCUGAGUUCGAUCCCUGGUACCAAAAAAAAAAAAAAAAUUUCAUUGCUUGGGGCCAGGGAUUUAGCUCAGUGGGGUCACGCCUGCCUCAUAAGCGAAAGGUCCUGAGUUUGAUCCUCGGUCCAAAAAAAAAAAAAAAAUUCAUUGCUCGUUCUCUUAUUGAGUUUUAGGAGUUCUUUCCAUAUUCUGGCCAUGUCCUUUGUGAGAUAGAAGCUAUACAAUUAUUUUCUCCCUCUAUGUGACUAGUCUUUUUAUUCUCUUAAGGGUGUCUUUCAGAGGGCGAAGCUUUUAGUUUUGAUGAAGUCAAGUUCCUAAUUCUUUCUUCUAUCAAUCUUUGAUGUUUCUGAGACUCAUUGCCCUGUGAGAGGUCACAAAGGUUUUCUCCCGUGUUUUCUUCUAAUGAUUGUAGAUGUUGGCACUGGGGGUGAUGUUGGGUCCACUCUGUGUUUGUACCCUUGUGAGGCUGAGGCUGAAGAGAAUGAUUUGUCCCAGCACCGUUCCCUGAAACGAAGGUGUUUCCUCCAUGGAUCUGUGUCUUCACCUCCAUCAAGUACUCCAUUUUCCAAGUAGAGAUGGGAACCUGGAGGACAAGGAUGGCGGGGCUUCUGGAAGGUCUGAGGCACCCAUCCAGGGUGUAUAUCCCCACCCAGAGUUGGCAGAGGGCAGCUGGCCUGUCAGCAGCUCCAGGUGUGAGCAGGGUUGGGGAACCCCUGCCCCCCAAUGACUGCACCUGUGUUCUCCAGCUGCACAAGUGGAGUGCUCAGGGCGGGUCCCUACCUCCUGAAGGCCUUGUCCACCUGGCUCUUGUUCUGGAGGCUUCCCUGUCAGGGAGUUGGGGUGGGAACUGCGGCCCUGGACCCCCUUGCCAGCCCUGGCUCACAAAUCUUGAGUGUUGGCCUAAGAGAGGUUUCCAAUAAUGUUAGACAUUUACAUGGCUUCCAGAAACUGAGUAAAUGUUUACAUUUCAGACUAAGUCACUGAUAAAUAUUCCUAAAAAGAGUCUAAAGGAAUAAACAUUUUUGUGGAUAUUUGUGCCUGUUUUUAAAUUGAGAUGUAAUUUCCAAUAGGAAAAGGCACAAAUCUGGGUAUGCAGCUGCACGACUGUCCCCGUUAGCACUUGCCUCCACCUCCUGGACUGUGCUUGCCCAUCCACUUCUCGUAAGCGGAGCCACAAGGAUGUGCUCUUCCUGACGUAUUGCGCACACUGAAGGAGAGCUGUGUGGGGACCUGCUGUGUGGCUGUGCCACAUUCUCCUCCAUACUGAUGAGCAGGGCUGACCAGGUUUUGGGCUGUCAUAAACAACUCUCCCAUGAGCACUCGUGAACCGGCCUUGUAUGGCUGUAAUACUCAUGCCUGCAGCACAUGCAUGGCCCACUGUGCACAGCAGAGUGGAUGCUCAGCUCUGGCAGGUUCUCUACGGUUUUUGAAGUGACUGGAUCCUUCUGGCCCCAUCAGCACAGGCCACUGUUGCUGGGUUCCACAUCUCCCCAGCAUAUGGUACUGAUGGUUGGUCUAAUUGUAAUCAUUUCAGUAGGUGCUCAGUGGAAACUAAAGAGACUCCUCUGUAUUUUAAAGAUGAUUGUGAGUUGUUUGGAUGACCUCCUCAUUAUCCAAAGAGGUUAAGAAGUAAAGGUAAGAGCUAAGAGAUGUUACCUUACACUUCUGUAACAAAAAUCCCAAUGUGGGUCCUACUGGUCUUCUUAGGAACUUGAAUCAAUGCUUAUGUCCACCCAAGGACUUGAACACAAGUAUUCACAGCAGCUUCAUUCAUAAUGGCAAACAAUGAACACAGGCAAAAGAUCCAUUAGGAGGGCCAUGUCCACUUCUGAGGCUGAAGGGGAGGAUAAUUUCCAUGACUUCUCCAGCCUCCUCAGCUGCCUGUGUUUCUUGACUUGUGACUCCUUUGUCCAUUUCCAAGAUCAACAGUGGCUUGCAGUCCCUUCCUCCUCCUCCAGUGUCCACAUUGGCACAUGACCUUCCUUCAUCUCUGGGUCCAACAGUGAUGUGUGGCCCCGUCCUCCAUCCCCAAGGCCAGCAGAGGCUUGUGGCCACCUUCCGUCUCCAAGGCCAACAGUGAUAGGCUUCAUCUUUUCACUAUUAUGCUACUCUGCUCUUGCCUGCUUUUCUCUUUCAAUUUUAGGGAUCUUGCAAUUACCUUGGACCCACGUGGAUGAUCGAGCCAAAUCACUGCAUCACAAGAAUGAAAGGGAAACGAAGGAGGAAGGCUCACGUCUGUGCCUUCGGAGGAGCUCCAGUCUUCACUUUCACCUUGGACGUUGUCUCCUGGCUUCCAGCACAAACUCAUCAGCCUUCCAUCACAGACCCUUUGGCCUCCUCAUAUAAACUGGCACGGGAUACUACACUAAGCUCCAGGCCUUAACUGGAUCCUUCAGAUCUCUAGUGCACAGAUAGUCCUCUUGUGUGCUUCCAACCUGACGCUGUGAGUGGCCAUUGUAAGCCCAUCUUGUAAAUUCUUAUAUAUCUGUAUAUCUUGCAUUAAAUCUGUUUCUCUAGUAAGCACUGAUAUAAGCCCUAUUAUCAUUAAAUCAUGCCUUUCUGUCACUGGUGUUUUUGAAGUCUACUUUAUUGGAGGCCAGAAGAGCUGGCUACUUUCUCCUUUGAUUAAUAGUAUAUCUUUCCCAUCCCUCUACUUUCAGCAGCCCUGCAUGAUAUUUAAAGUGAGUUUCUGUGGACAAUGCAUAGAAGAAGUAAACUGAUCUCUAUUUGCAAAUGACA
Long non-coding RNA from Heterocephalus glaber (naked mole-rat), 4805 nucleotides. NCBI's taxonomy places the organism in Eukaryota, Metazoa, Chordata, Mammalia, Rodentia, Bathyergidae. The record is from Ensembl.